This 330-nucleotide ribosomal RNA is filed under the name uncultured eukaryote. RNAcentral describes it as "partial 18S ribosomal RNA". It matches the Rfam family "Eukaryotic small subunit ribosomal RNA", at positions 1470 to 1796 of the family's 1831-position model. The record is from RNAcentral.
CCCUUAGAUGUUCUGGGCCGCACGCGUGCUACACUGAUGCAUUCAACGAGUCUAAAACCUGGUCUGAUAGGGCUGGGUAAUCUUUUGAAAGUGCAUCGUGAUUGGGAUAGAUGAUUGCAAUUCUUCAUCUUCAACGAGGAAUGCCUAGUAAACGCAAGUCAUCAGCUUGCAUUGAUUACGUCCCUGCCCUUUGUACACACCGCCCGUCACUCCUACCGAUUGAAUGAUCCGAUGAAUACCAUGGAUUGAGAGUACGAAUAGGUUCGCUUAUUUCUGCUGCUCGAGAAGUGGAGUAAAUCUUAUCAUUUAGAGGAAGGAGAAGUCGUAACA